Coturnix japonica (Japanese quail) is the source of this 7755-nucleotide long non-coding RNA. RefSeq lists it as uncharacterized. The record is from RefSeq and is a predicted model, not a curated record. Lineage: Eukaryota; Metazoa; Chordata; Aves; Galliformes; Phasianidae.
UAGAAUAGAAUAGAAUAGAAUAGAAUAGAAUAGAAUAGAAUAGAAUAGAAUAGAAUAGAAUCUGUUUUUAUACAUGAGAACUCUGCUAAAUAUCCACUUGGACUAAAGUUUUCCACACUGGGUUUGUCUUAGACCAAUUAGUUUAUUUAAAAAAAACAUUAUUUAGACUCAGGCCUUCAUAUGUGCAAGUGAUACCUAAAACAUGUGCCAUACGUCUCUAAAUCCAAUAGAUACCAGUUGUAUUUUAAUUGCUGCACUUUAUUUACUUAUUUGCUAAUACAUGUAGAUCCAGGGUGUAAAUUUAUGGAGAGGUAUGCCUCUCAAUACUGUUGUGAAAUCUGUUUGGUGAUUUAAGUUCUCAAAGAGAUUACCAUGGUGUUGAAGUAAGGCUGCUCAGCAUAUUCCACUGUGAGCACCUGUUGUAAUUGGUUUAUAAUGUUGUUGCUUUCCUGAUGGAAGAACAAUGAGAACCUAGUUGUACAUUUUUCCAUGCUUGUUUAUCUUCUUCAGACUGGGUGUUUUUAAAUGUUAUUUAGUUUUGGAACAAGCACUUCAACGUGAGCCAACUUUGUGCCCUUGCCAUAAUGAAGGCUAAUGGAAUCCUGGGUUGCAUUAGGCUCGGUGUUGCCAGCAGGUCAAGAGAGGUAAUUCUCACCAUUUGAAUAUCAGCAGUGUGUUUGGAUCAAGGCUCUCUAGAGCAAGAAAAACAUGAAGCUGCUGGAGAGGAUCCAAAGGAGUACCACAAGCAUAAAGAAGGGACUAGAGAACCUCUCUUAUGAGGAAAGGCUAACAGAGCUUGGACAGUUCAUGCUCGAGGAGGCUCGAGGGGAAUGAGAUCAACAGUGUCUACAAAUACACAAAGAGGACAGCCAGGUGUUUUUCAGUGGUGCCCAGUAAGAGUACAAGAGGGAAUGAGCACAAACAGGAACACAGGAUAUUCUCUCUGAACACCAGGAAGCACUUCUUUACUGUGUGGGACCCAGAGUGCUGCUGCAGUUUGCUCAGAAAAGUGGUGCAGUUUCCUUGGAGACAGCCAAAAGGAACCAGGACAUGUGCCUGGACAGCCUGAUCUGGGCGUCCUAGCUGGAGCAGGGAUUGGAGCAGGUGACCUUCAAUGAUCCCUUCCAAGAUCAGCUAUUCUGUGAUUCUUCAAUUAUUUGAGACUCUGCUGGAAGCAGUUGGGUUUGGCUUACGCUCUGCAGUGUGGAGGCAUCAACUUCAUCUCUGGUCCAGACAUGUUUUGCAGAUGUGUGAGUACACGAAUCUAUUUGAGGACAACCAAUCUAGCCAAGAAGCAGAAUGGAUUGGCAAAUGUGAAGCAUCAAACUAAGACAUGCCUGUUGUUUUCUGCCUCAUGUUUCUCCAUGUAGCUCUUCAUUGUGCUGCAAAAACUCAGUCCUGCUACAUUCCCUGAAAUAGGAAUAGUUUCAUAGCAGCCUCUGUGAUUUGGAUAUUUGUUUUCUAAGGCUCCUCUGGAAGAAUAGGAUGAAAGGAUGCAACCUUACAAAUCUUUCUUCAUUCCAAAUCUGCCAUUUUCUGUAACUCUGUGUUAGACAGAGCCUAGCCAUACGGCUGCUCUUCUUCCCUCUUACCCUGAAGGGGAUCAUCUAUUUUCAGCUGUGUGGAAGAGAUACCCACAGGCAAAACGGCAACAGCUGCAAGCCUGGGGAGCAUAAGGUAUUGUGGUGACUGUAGAAAAGUGGGGGAGUGCAAGUAAUGCUGCUGGGAAGAGGCAUGUUCUGAAGGACCAGAAGGAAGUGAAAAAGGUUGGAUUUGGAAGUAGGACUGAGUGCAUCAAGGCAAGCCAUGGUCCAGCUGUGCUCAGAAAAUCCUGCUCAGAGAGGUAGGACUGAGGAGUGUUAUUCACAUCCUAAUAAGAUAAGUGUGAUCCGAAGAAUGAUGUGAAAACUCGUCCAGUUGCCCAGAUUUCCAGAAAGGAGCAUAGUUCUGCUAUAAAGCACUCCUGGAGGCACAGCAAUAGGGCAUGCCUUCCUCAGGAGCUGUACAUGCCUCAGUGGUGGGAAUCCAGGCAAGGUGGGAUGCCUUGAUGGAUGCGAGAGGGCUGCUGCCUCACAGCAGUGGGAGGGGAAUGGCAAGAAACAGUAUAAAGUCCUUUGUUCUGUUUGGAAAAUCUUAAUUCCCAGAUUUGAAGCAAUCAUUUUAAUAUUCAGACAAAUAGAAAUUUUGUACUUAGAAAGCGUAGACAUAGAUUAAAAUUACCCACAGACUAUAAUUAUAACUCUUGCCCUCUGUUCAGAUUAAUAUGCUUCCAAUGGGUAGAAAAGUGGCACCUGUUGUAAAAACAUUGUUCUAAUCUUACGUGCAAAGAGCUGCACAGCUCACAGAAGUCUUGGCAGACAAAAGUGAGUAGACAGAAUCUAUGGACAGAUAUUUCUUAUGCUGAGGAUUGGUGUUAAUUCUCUUCUUUUUCAAUUGGAGGGGAACUUGAAGCUGUGGUGUAAAUGGGAAGGACAUGGCAAGAGGAGAAGAAGGCGGCUUCCUUUUCCUCCUGCAUAGUAAGGCAGGUGGAAGGCAAACAUCAUCCCAUGUCUGGACCACAGCACCUUGCAUGCUCCCACAGGAUAGCCUGUAUUUCUUUCUGUAUUUUGGGGAGGAUUGGCUGUCCCCCACCAGGGGUGAUGAAGCAGGCAUGAUUCUUCUUCUUGUUGAGUGGACCUCGGUAAAAUCACCCUGCAGGCUCCGUGAAAGCAAAUGAAGCAGCACUCAUCUAGGUACUUCUGCAGCUCAGCCUCCUCACAGCAUCCAAGGUCUUCUGUGAUAAACAGCCAAAUCAGAAAGAUGAGAUUUCAACAUAGGCUCUCACGCAGGGAAGAACAUGGGUCAUAUGAAUCUUUCACUAGAGCAAGUUCCAUUAUCUUUGCUCAGUCAGGAUGAAGGAGAAAGUGAAACUCUGACAUUGCCAGUGUUAUGCAGAUUGUGUUCUCAUAGAUUUUUCUUUUGAGAGUGGAUUGACUUGCCAAACCUCUGAAGUGACAUGUGAUUUGGAGAUAAAUUUCCAUAUGCUGUUUAAACCUCGCUACUAUCACAGUUCACUUGUCAUUUGUACAAAGAAUGUACAUUAACUGGAAAUUUCACCAAUGUGUAGAGUUACUACCCUCUAGAGAUUACCUCCCUGCAGAUCUUUCUUCCCAGUCAACUUUAACUCUGUUGCAGUGACAGAUAUAACAGCUAACCUGGAGGCUACUUAAUGGGAUUUUUGAAGUUCUCGAUAUUUCUGAUACAUUUAUGUUAUAAAAACAAAAUGCUUUGUCUGGGCAAUUGCUCCUGGUGCCUUUGAGCCUGAGUGCUCACCUUCACAUCGUUCUUGUUAACACUCUCAUUUCACCUUUCUCAGCUGUUCGGUAAAAGCAUUUACUAUGUCUUGACCUAAUUUGAUCUUGAUUUUACGUUAAGGUUGAUUUGGAUAAUGCAGGAUUCCUUUUGCUUAAGUUUGACUGGAUGUUCUAACAAUAAUAAUACUGAAUGGCAAAAUGAAUAUUUUCUUGGAUGGGUUCUUGGUAAUAUUGUAUGUCUCCUAGAAAAGAAGGGACAGUUGUUUUGCCUGAAGCAAUAGAGAUCAUCACAGAAAGAUUCACUUGAACAACCUGAAAGUCCUGGAUGUAUUUCAAGGGUGAUUGUUUUUAUGAUCAUGAGCUUGCUGGCACUUCCUGGAUUUAUGUCUAUUAAUGUAUUGGACUUGGUAUUUUUCUGGUUUGCUUUUAUGACUGACAGAGUGAGACAGGUGUGCUGUGUGGUCUGCCAAAAGGAAAGAAAAUCAAUAUUUCAGCAUUUAAUUAUGAUUGUUUACUUAAAGCUACUUUUGACCCCCUGUGCCCUGGCUUUCCUCUCUAGAAGUACAAGCAUAGGUUUUUAACGUACAAAUACAGAUUUCCCCUGAAAGAUUAUACUUCUAACAAGCAGUUUGAUUGUUGCGCUUGCUUUUAUUUUUCUCCCUCAGCAAAUGUUUAGCACCAAUAUUGUCUCAUUUCUGUCCCAGUAUUUCUAAUUAGAUUGUGAUUUCUCUUGUGAAGAAGCUACUUUGUGCAUACAGUGCUAAAGUCUUGGGUAUUAGGAAGAGGUGGGAGUAUGUGACACUAUUUAGUUUUGAGGCUGUAGCUGGUAUAAUAAUAAUAACAAUAACAUGGACAAUUACCAGAAUUUCACAACCACUGAAUGACAGCUUCCCACCUUGAGUCCCUAAAUGCAAUUUAAAAAGAGCUAGAUCUGAUUCUCUUGCAGACACAGAACAAUUAGAAAGUAAUAUUAAUGCCAGGACCUUUCAUUUUGCUAGUUUGAGACUCUAAAGGCAUUUUGAGCUCUCCAUGUAAAUGGCUCAAUUAUUUCCUGCCGUGUAUUUAUGGCCAGGUGAUUAUUAGCAGUGAAUUUUAUUUAUCUUGAUUACAUGCACGGAAGAAGCCCUGUUCACGUGAUUGUUGUGGGGAUAAGAAACAGACACCUGAGUACUCUCAGGUAGUCAAUUUAAUCACAAAAAGUCUUUGCACUGAAGAGUAAGGGCAUUUCUCACCAAAUGACUGUGUGGAAAGAGUUGGCAGAGGAGCUUUUCAGAAGAUAGUUGAUCUGAAAUAGACACCAAGGCUAGUGGCAGUCCUAAUACCAAUGUCCUACCUGCAUUUACACCAACCGUGUCAGAACCAUUCCUAAUCUACUGACUGGAAAACAAGAGGAAAGCUGGUGUAGAGGAGUGCCCUAGAAAGCAAGUUCCCUGGGAAGGACCUUCACAGGUUAUGGUGAAGAGUAAAGGACAUAAAGCAGGUACACAACUUUCCAGGGUUUAAUCAGGCUCUGUGUACUGCUAUGCCUACAUGGGAGUAAGAUCUCAUGUCUUCCAGGCUACAGACCUCCCACCAGACUGCCGGUCUUUGUUUCAUUGCAUCUUGUCCUGACUGUCUAUUCCCUUAUGUAGUCAACAGUAUUAUUUCCAAGCCUUUUUACGCAAGGAUGUUUUGAAUAAAAGAUAAUGUGGUGGUAAUGUACCCACAAAGAUGGUAACUGGAUGGGCUUUGACAUCUCAAAGGACAUGGUUGCAUGCAUCCAUUUGCUUGGUGAGGUAAAGCAUGGAGUAAUGCUCUGUACUGUGCACUACUUGAUAGGAUAUCUCUGUCUUUUAUGCCAGAAGGAAGUGGGAGGUGAGGAUGUCUGCAGAAGGCAAGCUGAGGAGAAACAAUAACCAGAAAUCCUCAAUGGUAGUCGCUGAGAAAAGAAAGGUGUCUGUGUGGUUUAACUUGCAAAAAUAUACGUGGGCAGAAGUGCUGGUGAUAGCGAGCAAAGAAAAGGGGAUGGGCAAUGGCAAAUGAAGAAGGCCACAAUGAAGAUGCUCAGAGGAAAAGGCAGAAAUAAAUGAAAAGCUGAAGUCACAUGUGGAUUGUGGGAAAAUCUGUAGCUGAUUUUCAUGAUAGGGAUCUCUAUUGUCUUGCAGUGAUGGUGUUGCACUGGCAGUCAUGUCACAGAAAGUGGGAGGGUUGUGUGGGACUGGUUGAGUGAGAGCAAUACUGUGGGACUGCUGCAUUUCUCUAAGAGAUGGCUAAUCAGAAGAGGGCAAAAAAAGGUGGUUUGCUCGAGGGAGAAACCUUGGAAGACUGCAGAGAAUGAUAAAAUGAUAUGUGUGCCUUGAUGUUGCAGUGUGAGGGAUGCCUCCAUCUGCCAAGGCACCUGCUGCAACAGGGCUAGCUUGAAAGGCAUGCAGGUAGCUGUCAGUCUCCCAGUGGAAGUUGCUUUCCAUGGUCUGGCAGCCUGGGACUCUGGGAUGGGUUGUGUUGAGAGGUAACAAGCCUGUCUGUACAGGAUAGGUGCAUAUUUGACCCACCUGAUACCACACAAUGCAAAACCACCCUUACUGUCUCAGAUUUCCCUCAGGAUUCUGGUGCUGGACUGUCUAAGCUUGGGAGCUAAAGUUCAUAUUUCUGACCAUGAUCUUCAUAAUGAAAAGGAUCUGAGAGACACUGUCAUAUGUGACUUGUUUUGGGGUUGGAUUUGUUUUUUUCUUCACUUUUUUAUUUUUUAUUUUUUCUUCAUAGUGAUAUGGACCACAAAAGUAAAAUUAAGGCAGGGAGAAGCUUCCAGUAAGUCAUUACUGUGCAGUCAUUACCCUUUUUUUCACCCAUGCAACGACUGUUUCCAUGGAGACUGGAGCAAACCAGUGCUAGGAGAGUGCUAUCUGCUGGUUCCUGUUUCCACAGAAACACGAACACUGGAUUACCAGAAAUGAAGUUACUAUUGCCCAGCCAGGCUAACCAAGCAGCACUGCUCAGAAACAAGUUUCCUCCCAGUUUUGUGCUCAGGUGGUCAGUUACGACAAGUCUCAGAGUCGCAGAGAUCAUGACUCUUGCAUGGAUGCGGUGUGCUAAACCCAGAACACUGCAAGCAAAUUUGAAGGCUGUGGUGUGGGAUCACCAAACCCAAGACACCACAUGCUGCAAGCAAGAAAACAUCAGUGGUGCAAUGUGACUAGUAAUUAAUGUUGCAAGGAACAAGUGGUGAUUUCUGUGCAAUCAGACCCUGCCCUAUAUUUGCAGUUCGGGGUCACUCCUGGUAGGCUGUGAGACCAAGUGUAAUUGCCUUCUCUGCAUGCCUAAUAUAUGUGUGCUGUUGGUAAGGCCAGCCAAUCUAAAUACUUCAGGGCUUUCCCCCCCUAUAUGCUUUCUGUAGAACCUAGAGUAGGUAGGGGGUAAGCUGUUCAGUAUUGCUGCUGUAAGUGCUUUUUGAAGGCUAAGCAAAUCACCUGCUUAGAUGGUUGGUGUUUGCCACAGUUAAAAACCUCUCCCUGUACCUGGUAUAACUUCUCAGCUUGUCUUGCUUCUUGACAGAAAAAUAGCUUGAAUUUAGGAAACAGUCAGUUGGCUGAUGUGGACUUCAAGCUGGACAAUUUUGGGAAUAAAAUGUCGUGCACAGUGUUUUCAGGGGCAGUCAGAGACAGUGUUCAUUUAGAUGCAAAUAAAUAAAUAAAUAAACAAAUAAAUAAAUAAAUUAAUUGUUUGGCUUAAUUUCUUAUCAAUCUUUGUACAAAUUGUUUUAUGUCUAAUGGGUAGCUAAGUAGUAACAUUAGUCCCCUACGUAGCUAUAAAUAGAGAAGACUUCCUGUGCCUCUUUUCAGAAGGUUCUGUACACUGACAUUUGUUGAUUCUAUCUAGAAGACACACGUUUUUGGUUGCAAUUACUCUGCUCUUCAGACAAAUGCUAAGAAUAAUGGUCCUGGCACAGCAGAUUGCUGGAGGAAAACCUGAGAAACAAUAUCCUCUCCACCUAACACUGCCUUCCAACAAGAUAUUCAGCUUGAUCCAAUUGUAUUUCUUCAGGAAUAUUAAUAAUAAUAAAAGAUUCAUUUUGGAUUUGGACAUAUGUUUUUAAUGUGCAGGAUCGUUGUUAGUGGUCUUUAAGUUCAUUUUGAGAUAGAACUUAUCUUUCAAGUCUGAUCCUUACCUUCAAAACUCCACUUAAUAUCACAAUCAGAUCAGGUAUUUUGCAAUUCAUUCCAGAGAUGAAGGCCAGAUGAAACAUCCAGCCCAAUCUGCUGCAAGUAGAGAUGAUAUGCUUUCACCUGUUACUGCUGUAUUAGAACCAUAACCUUGUGGAACAAGCAUCCCUCCACCCAAAGAAAAAUACAUUUUCUGAAUUAGAAAGUAUAGGAAUCUAUUACUUUCAGUAAUGUCUUGUCCUAAUGGUUAAUGAUCCUUGCUUUUACAAAUUGAUAUCUGUUUCUAAUUUGUCUGGCACUAACUCCCAGCCAGUGAGCCUACG